Molecule: unclassified non-coding RNA, 393 nt
Filed under: Saprosma ternata
Lineage: Eukaryota; Viridiplantae; Streptophyta; Magnoliopsida; Gentianales; Rubiaceae
Description: partial external transcribed spacer
Source: RNAcentral
UUCCUCACAGACAUCAGGCCACAUGACACUUCUGCUUGAGCAGUACCGAACAUCGUUCGAAUGUGUUGGGACAUUAGUCGUGGGCAAGUAAGGGUUGACGACCUGGUGCCCCUAGUGUAUUCCGCACCCUAAAGCCUGAACGAUAAAUAUAAGUCAUGUGCCAGAUGAUAGCGCUAAGUGCAUGUGUCAGGGAACACGACCAUCGCCAUGAGAUUCACCCGAGCUGUACCGUGUAAACGGUCAGCCCUAGGCGAAUAAGGUACAAUUGCCGAUAGAAUUCCAUUGAAGUAGGUAUGCAACACAGGAAACUGAUUGGACGACCAAGGCAAUGUAGCACUUGUGCCUAACAAUGAAGAGGAUAGCACGAUUGGACGAUACUGAGCUAAGUAGAGA